This is a long non-coding RNA of Passer domesticus (house sparrow), 8211 nucleotides long. RefSeq lists it as uncharacterized. The record is from RefSeq and is a predicted model, not a curated record. Lineage: Eukaryota; Metazoa; Chordata; Aves; Passeriformes; Passeridae. The transcript is spliced from 2 exons.
UUUAUGUUGUUCCUUUCUAAUACAUAGUUUUCAUGAUGUACAAGACCUGUUUAUUAGAAGUGAUAGAUCGUCAAGGGCAGUACAUUUCCUUAAACUUCAAUUUUGGCCAAAAUAGUACAAAAUAAUUAACAACAGAAAAAGUUCUUGACAGCAAAUGCUAGGUACAGAUGUACAGUGGGAUGAGGCAGCUUCCAAAACCAGAUUCUGUUGGAUUAAAAGUGCCAUCUUUUCAUACAUGAGGGAUUAAUUUUGGAUGUUUAGGGACACCAUCUCAUUUAAAUUAAGCUUCCUGGAAAAACAGUGGUUUGGAAAAACCAAGAUGGAGUUUUUGAACCUGCUAAGUCAUUUAGUCUUUCAUGCUCUGCUUCAAAGUUCAUUGGUGGAUACAAGAACUUUGUAAUGCUUUCUCCUGGUGCAACCUCUUUGCAGUCCCUUGUGCAUGGCAGUAAUCCCAGUGCAGCACACUAACCCCAGUUUCUCUAGAUUGCAUGGCACCUACCCCUUCCACUUGGCUUUACUGAAGGAGUUGGGGAUUUUGUGUUGGAAUGCUUCACGCUGUGAAACGGCUGCACUCCUGCAGUGCUCAGUUCUCACAAUUCCUCUCUGCUGAGAGUCAGAGGGGUUGGUCUGUGGUGUAGGUGACAAAGCUGCUCUGCAGAGAAUGUGUGCGUAGCAUUUGUCAGGUGGAUCCUGUAUCAACUUGUGAUUAAUUGAUGAGCUGAGUUAGAACGCUGAAAACAGGAUUGUAGAAGAUUUAAAAACCCAUCAUCUCUAAGCCCAGAGGGUUUGUAUCUCUUCUCAGUGUUUGUGUUUGGUUAUCCUGUUUCCUUGACUCCUUCAGUGUUUUGGCAUUAGGUGUAACUGGAGGUUUGUCUUUUGUAUUUAGCUGUGCUGUGUUUCAGACCAUCUGUGGGAUAGUCCAGUGAUAAAAUGAGAUUUUAUUUUUUAUUUUUGAUAAUGUGAGUUCCUGAAUCUGCUUCUGUUCUGUUUGAGCUGUGAGCUCCUUUGCCUGAGUUUAAUCUGUGGUUGUAACAGGAUAGUGCUUCUGAAGAUGGUUGUGUUCACAAUGAAUGCUACAGCUGUUGGAUGCUUGUGGUCAGAGAACCUUUGAAAAGGGCUUAGUACUUACAAUACUUGUUAACCUUUUUGUGGAAGUGUUUCUUAGUAUUUUUGGAAACUUUGCCUCUUCGUUUGUGGUUUUUGGAUGUUCUGGUAAUUAGGCUUAUUUUCAAGUCGUGGUAUUCUCAUGGGCUAGUGGCAAUAUGGACAUCAGUAAUCUGCCAGUCAGCAGUAACCAAACUUUGAAACUUACCCUUUUUUAACAUAAGAAAGCCUGUUUGCACUGUCUGCUCCCUCAGGGCUUGUUUACUUGAUGAUUGAGUUAUGACCACAGACUUGAUUUGCCUCAACAUAGACAGUUUGGGUUUUCUUGUUACUGUUUGUCUUAAAGUGCUUGUAGGUACAGAACUUCUUAUCUUCCACCUGAAAUGCUGAAAUGGUCCUUAUGAGGUACUAGGGCUGGAAUGAAGAAUGUUGACUUUGUUAGUGUUACAAACUGUACCUUUGAAUUUAUAAUUCUAGUGAGUUUCCUACUUGGUUUUGAAAAAUAUACCUUGGCUAGAGCAGGUUGCUGAGUGGAGUGCACUCCUGAAAGGAUAGAACUGAAGGUGGUUGGUUUAUAUUCUGCUAUAUAGGUCAUACAUUCACAAAAUAAUAAACCUUGUGUUUGAGAUGCUGCUGUCAGAUCAAAAAAAACACGAAAGAAUUAAAAUCCUGUGAUGAUCAGAGCCAUAACCCUGAACAUCUGCAAGCUGUGCUGAUUUAAACUCACUGAAACUUCUCUGAAAACUCAGUUGUGGCAGACUCAGUGUUGCAUUAGGUGUUAUCUCACUUCAAACAGCUGGUAGAAAGUUAAUCAAAACCCCACAUGAGCACUUUGUGCUCUGUCAUGCUGCUGUGGCCAAAAGAUAGGCAGGAGUUGGGAGGUGAUAGUGGCCAGGCCUGCAAGCUGGGCUGUCCUGGUGUGAGGUGGAUUGCACGGAUGGCCUGACUGCUAAUUACCUACUGCAUAUAAAGGAAGUGGAAGACUUUUAGAUGUUGUCAGAUUCAAAAUGUUGUGGUGGGGAUUAAAGUAUGUUUAAUUGAGAAGAUAAGUAAAACAUUUUAUCAGAAGGAGAUGAUUAAAUAGAAUUCUCUUUCGUUUCUCUGGCUUUUACAAUGAAGUUAACUUUGCACCAUAUUGAGUUAAUUUUAAACUCACUAAAAUGAGGUAAUUUUUGAACCUGACUUAAAACUGACAGUCAAGAAAAAAUAUUUUUAGAAGCUUCUGGUAAUAACUCCUAAAAUUUGGCUUUGGCCUAUAGCUUAUCCUUACCUGAGAAUCUCAAAUGAGGGCUUUUCUGGCUCUUCUUUGCAAUGCAACCAACAUCAAGAGAAUUUAAUAAAAAUAGAAAAAACAAAACCCUGUAGCUGCUAGUUUACCAGCAGUGAAAGUAAAGCUGAAUCAUUUCAUUCACUUGAAUGUUAGAGGGAGAUGAAAUAGUAACACCUGGUUUGGAAAAGCUCACAUGUGCUUGCUGGUCUGUUAUGUGAUAGAACAGAUAACAUGGUACAUUGAGAACGCUUCAGUUCCUCUUUCUUUUUGAAGUUAACGUCAAAUUUGAAAUUCCCUGCAUUGUUUCUUAUUUGUAAAUUUAUUUGAGUUACUAGAAUGAGAGAGGAAUCCAGCCUGGGUGACUGGUCAUAGAAUUCAUGUUGUGGAGCACACAUUCGUGAUGGCCAGAAAAGAGAAUUACUGUCUGUAAUGGAGUUGCUUGAAGGUGUUACUAAACCAGCUGAAAAUGCAAAGCAGUAGCUCUGGAAUCUUCUGUCUUGGUUCCAGUCACAAGCUUGAUUGGAUUGUGGCGCAGGAGGGGAAUUUACCUCCCAAUAAUAAAAGAAGUCAUGAGGCUGCAGAGGCUUUGAGACAUCUGGUAGAGAAGCUGGGCAGCCUCAUCCAUCUUUCGGUUUCCCUCCAGAAAUACACGUCAAGUCUGUGUUAAUCUUUGUAACUGAUAUAUAGAGUGAGAUUAACUUGCCAAUUUAUCACACAUUUGCAUAACUGUCACCAUAGUCACCUCUGGCAAAGUUUUCUCCUAGACAUGUAGUUGGAGGCUGCCUUUUACUCUUCACAGUAACUAAAUCUGCAUUUGUCAUCCUGUUGUGAUAUUUGUCAUACUCAGCCAUGGAAAUACUGUGCUUUGCUUUUGUGUAAGAGCAUUCUGCAGUAUCAGUCACUGUCAUUCUCCUUCCAGGGGGAGCUAGACUGUGGAUGUUUUAAAAUUGUUUUGAACUUUGCUAUGAAAGUAUUUCUGAAGGAAAAUGGAGAAAACUCACAUGGCCAAGGCUCAGCCUUUCCUGCAGCUUUUCUUAGCUACAGGACAAGGCCUCCUGUCUGCAGAGGACUUUGGCCAGGCUUUCUGUAAUAACACUGCCUCUCAUCAGAAGGCACUUUUGUGCUUUGAGUUACUUGGACAUCUCCUGUUGAGUAGUCACUCAGACACCCCUGAGAAUUACUCUGCUCAUCUCAUUUCUUACUGCUGGGUGCCUAUGGAAAUGCAGUCAGGUCCUUAUCACCAAAUGUACUGCACUUGGAUAAUGAAAGGGCAUUAUUCAUCUGUUCUACACCAAGUGGGAGCUGGCUGGCCAGGAGAGCAGUAGAGAGCUAGAAAUUCACUUGGAGCUAUUUUGGCUGUAUCUGGUACUGCCUGCAAGCAGGAGUAGCAUUCACAAGCCUCCUGCCCUCGGUUUUUGAUUGAGCUCCUGAGUAAUUGCAAAGAGGUGGAAGAUUUUUCUUUUGGGGACAUUCACCUUGAGAGUUAGGACAACCGCCAAAAUGUUUCUUUUAUUAAACACCUCUAGUGCUACUUCUGUCUUUUCUGGGAUUGGAUGCUGUACCCCUGAGAAGAACAGCAAAUCUUAAGGUCCUUUAAACCAGUAAGGGAGAAGCAGGAAAACAAUGCAGCUUGUCUUGUGCUGUUGACAUUAAUUUCAAGGACUAUUCUCUUCAUUUGGCUUUUGCCUUUCUCAUCAGGAAAACAUGAUCACGAGUUAUCCCAGUGAAUGCAAAAGUGGUGGGUGUUUGGCAGUGUCUCCUUCUCCAGUGAACCCUGCCUGUUCUCUGGCUGCCCGGGCUCAGCACUGCUCCCCUGCCAGCACAAGCAAGGGAGGUGCUUUGCAGCCUGUGGAUGGUGUGCCAAAUUCCACUUUGAUUCUGAAAAAAUGUGUACACCACUUAGAAAAAACUGCAUAUCAAAGGUCGCCUUGUUUGGAAGAAGAGUAUAAAUAUUUGUAUCAGGCUAGACAAAUUCAAAUGAGAAGAUAAACACACAUUUUUAACACAUAGAUGAUUAACUGUUGGAAGGAGCUGCCAAGAGCAGUAGUUUCUCUGGCUUUCAUGUCUUAAAGACCAGCUUUCUGAAAAAUAUCUCGUAGUGAGAAGGGAGUGCUUGGGCUUUACAGAGAAGUCGAGGAAGCUCUGGGAGCCUGGGGCACAGAGCAAGGUGCACCAUGGAGCACAGUGUUCCUUCCAGCCCUCCUCCGUGGGCUGUACCUUGGCUUCUGCCCUCCUGAUGUGUUGCCAUUGAUGCACAGGUCAUGUUCUCUUACUGUGGUUUUCAGACUGGGGGAUGCUUUUGUGGUGUGGGGGCCGCUUUGUCUCUUGGGAGGAGCUGAGGAAGCAGGGGAGCUGGGAAGAGAGGAGCCAACACCACGUGCAUCUGGGGCAGCCUGAUGACUGUUGCCCUAAAGCAUCCAGUUUGGGAUGUGUAGGUGCCAAGAGUGGACUUCAUGUGGGAGAAGACAUUCUGGAUCUGUUCAGCUCUCUUGGUAAAAUCUUGCCUGCUCCCACUGGAUCUCUGCAGAAGGAGCAUAUAAACUGACGAUACUGUUUCCAGGCACAAAAGAGAAUUGUAAGUAUUGUUAGUGUUGGGUGCUAGUCAUGUUCCUGGUUUGGUGUUUUUUCAGUUGAGAAAAUCUUUGUUGCUGUGCUCUCUUUAUUGGUUGUUUGCAUCAGAAGUUCAUUUUGAGAAGCAUACAUGGAACUAUUUUUUUUUUGUCUGUUUAAAUACCUGCAUGUAUAUGUGUGCAUACAUUUGCAUUUAUAAACAUCGUUAUUGACAGAUUUUGAAAAAUUAGUUGUAUUUCUAAACUGUGGUGGGUUUUAAGGCAUAGAUCUUUACUAUGGGUGGGAAAGGAAGAAUGUUUGGCAACUUUGAGAUGGAUUGGAGAUGCCAAGCAACAAAAGUUGGUGCAGCUUGGGAGUCAUGUCUCCUCUAAGGCUAAUUGUACAGGUUUCAUAAUUAAAUGCAGUAUUUAGUCAAAACUACUAUUGAAUGUCAACUUGAAACACUAUUUUUAAAAAAAUUCAGGCUUGUCAUUUUUAUGUCAAAAAUGGAACAGCAGCUAAUGACUUAGUGUUCCUGACAUUGGGAACUGGGUUUUGUGGUGAAAGUUCAUGAAAUACUUUGAAACCUACUGAGCCUCAGAAGAGAUGUACUGUUACUGUGAGCAUGUGAUGCUUUCAGGGUCAUUUAAAGACGAUGGUCUCUGGAGCUCUGUAAAUCAGGGAUGUGUGCUCACACUGGAAGAUGGGAUUUGCUUGCUGUAGUCCUACAGGGAUAGAUGGAUGAGGAAUAAAUUGCAUGUUGGGGGGUGUAAUUGGAGAGGGCAGGUAUCUCUUCUUUUUUUUGUAAUUAAUACCUGGAACCCUUAGUGUCAGAGCCACAGUGUCAUAUUUAAGCCUCGGGGUAGAAGGGAGAAUAUUUUUCAAAUUAUUAACCUGAAAAGAUGAGACCUUGCAAACGGAGCGUGGACAGUGCAAUAUGAAACGUGGAGCUUCACUUACUGUCUCGUGUCUGUGCUAUUUCAACAGCACUAAUAGCCAUUUGAUGAAAGUAUAAACUUAGUGAUUUUGUGCUUUUGCCAAAUUACUAUGGAAGUGUUGACAAAACAGCUGGGGAAGUCAUUCAUCACAUUUUUCUGAAGUCACUCAUGAGAUUCUUUUCUUUUUAAAUUUAACUGCAUGGCUUUUUCUUGAUGUAUCUUUUUUUCUUUUACGGUAAUCUGGGUUUGCUGUGCAUUAAGGUUUUGAAGACUGGUUUAAAGCUGAUAAUCAAUGGAAAAAUAUGUAACACUGCUGUACAAUUUGCAAAUUAGGGCUUGCUCAGAACUGUUCUGAAGUUUCUCCUUUAGUGAGGGCCACUAAUGGGAAUAUAAGAUGACGUCUUGAUACUUCAACUCAUUAGUUUUUAAGAGUUAUAAAGAUCUGUUGCAAAAGUAGAAGAGCACUUUUCCUCUGCUUUUGCUGUUUGAAGAGCUUUUUAAUUAGAAGCCAAUUUUGCUUGACCUGGUGGUGGAAACUCCUGGAAGGGAAGACAAGAAGCGAAGUUUUGUCUUUGGGGGCAGUGAGGGAGCUGUUUCAUCUGGAACUGGGAGGUUCUGGAGAACAAGUAUGAGAGAUGUGAAGGUCUGUGGGGCUCUGCUUGGGCACAGGGGCAGAGGAAACACUGGUGGGAGGCACCUCGUGUCUGGGUACACCAUGGAGGACCUGCCAGGGCUGCAUGCAGUUGCACUGUGGAAUUUUUAUUUCUUUGUUUUCCUCUAGUAAUGAGUAUUAGGUUUCAUUAUAGGGGCCAGUUUCUUUCUUUUUUUUUUUUUUUUUAAACUCAGUAGGAUUUUGGUUUGCACUUCAAAUACAAUUUCAAAGUGAAACUUGGUCUGCGAGGCUUCCUCAUGGCAGAGAUGAAACCCACGGGGAUUUCUGUCUGAGGUCGAAAUAUAGCUGAGAUGAAAAAACCCUCUUUGUUUCAGGACAGUUUGAGUUGGAAGGGAUCUUAAAGUUCAGCCAGUUCUGAUCCCCUGCCCUGGGCAGGGACACCUUCCACUAGACCAGGUUGCUCAGAGCCCUGUCCAACCUGUCCUUCAACACUUCCAGGGAUGGGGCAGCCACAGCUUCUCUGGGCAACCUGUGCUAGGUAAAAUUUCUCCCAAAAAGAAAUUUCCACAGUAAAAAUUUCUUCCAAAUAUCUAAUCUAAAUCUGCCCCCUUUCAGGUUUAAAGCCAUUCCCCCUUGUCUGCUUUUGUAAGUAUCAAACCAAAUAAAAUAAUUUGAUGUCAGUGAUACAAUUUCUGGAGGAUGUAAGAGACAGAGAGAGGUACAGUGUUCUGAGCUCCAUCUCAGCCAUGAGUUUGUGAGGUGUGUUGGAGAGAGAAGCCCCAGGAGCAGGAGCCCCUGGUACAGGUUGUUAAAGGGUCUGGUCACUUUAGUUUAUUGCUGUGCAAUGAGACUUGCAGGAAACUGGGGUAGACCUCUGACAUGACCCCGAAGAGUGUAGAAAAUAUAAUCUUUUAAGUAAUCUUGAUUGCUGUUUAAAAAUCAGGUCCAUUUGGUCAAACUUCAAGCUUUAAAUCUUGCUAAUUUGUAUUUAUAUAUGUCAAGCUGUGAAGCUCGUUCCUCAUUCUUUGCUUCCUUUCAAAAUUCAUGCAGAAAUGAAUAAAAGGCCCCUGCUUAAUAAAGUCUUUUAAAAUUAAUAAAAUUCCCUUUGAGCAUGCAAAUUGGGUCAUCUCUCUGCUUGCUGGAAACGUGAGGAUUCAUGCUACCUCCUGCCAUUUGCAUUUCCAACAUCCCAGAUCUUUAAGAUGAGAGCAGCCGGCGUUAUCCAUACGGAUGCCCUGGUGUGCUUUAACAGAAGGAAAAUAGCUGCAGAAAGCUGGGUGUGCUCAGCCUGUGCCUUCUCUCUUGCUUCAGAAACAAUGCAGGACCAAUUCACUGGGCUUUAACAGGUUCUGACGAGGAAGUUUUGGCAGGGAGGAAGUAACUCCAGGCUCUCCCAGCAGCUCCCUCUCUUUAGGCCAGGCUCCAGAGCUCGACCUGGUCCAACAGGAGUGGCUUUAGCCAUUGGUCCCUGGUAGCCACCAUGGGGAGCAGCAUGAUGGCAUUUCCUUUCAAAGCAGCACCGUUGUGGUUGGUGUGUGCUGAAAACUCACUUUAUUUUAUCAGUUUGUUGCAGAUUGGGGAAUCUUUGUGGUGAAAUGUGCCUUGAGUAGCUUGUGAUGUGCUGGGAAUGCAGGAUUCGUGUUGGUACACGCUGAGCUGAAUGCAGGAUAUAAUGGGGUUCUUGGGUGUGGAUGGGGGUGGUAGGUAAAAUCCACCUAAAAAAAAAAAAGGGAAAA